AGCCGUUGGUGGAUUUUGGCAUUCAGACCAAACUCAAGAAGAAAUCAGGACAAAAUGGUGGCGGCAAUGCACCUAUAAGUUGGAUGCCAGCCGCCAAUUAAAAUAAGAAGAAGAAGAAGAAGAAGAAGAAGAAGAAAUAAUAUCCGCUUGGCUCUGUGCACCUUCCGCCUCUACAACAACCUACACAGCAAUCCGAAAAUCAGCGUCCACUAAAUUGCAGAUGGAGUCAUGCAGUUUGACAGUUUGGCCACUGAGGAACAAAUAAGGAGCUUCAGAGCAUUUGAAGCAUGCACCGCAAAGGAGUGGAGGGGGGCUUCACCUAUGGGCUUCACAGCCAUCAGGACUGAUUCUGUGACAGUGUUGUUUUACAUGUUCUACACUGUAGUUGCAGUCCUCGGUGUUUGUGCAUCUUAUCAUAAAUAAUAAUACUAAUUUAAAAAACCCCACAAAGGGAAUGUGUGUGUUAAAAUAUUAACCAGUUGUCUAAAAAUAGAAAGAAAGGGCCAGAUUUAUUUUCAUCAUGUGAAUUUGUGAAGUUUGACACAGAAAGAGAUAUAUAAAUAAAUAUAUACAGGUAUAUAGGGUUUAUUGAUAAUAUAUAUACAGUAUAUAAUUUAUAUUAUAUUUGUACCCUAUUUUUGAAGUACUUGUAUUGUACCUUUUAUUUUUUUUAACACGGUUUUUCUAACUUGAGGCUUAUGCUGCCUGCUGUUUAGUAGCCUAGUAACUAUUGUCAACUGACGUGUGCAAUAAAAAAUGGGUGAAAAAACAGUCUGGACUGGAUUGUGAUUUAUUAUUAACGUGACUGUAGAAUCGUGUCCAGAAGGUAGGAACCUGUUUUCCUGUACAAGCUAAUUUUACUGUAGCGUAAUUUGGUUAUGCAUUGGAACUAAAGCAGUACAGUAAAAGUCUAAAAUGAGUUAUAAUUUGACGUAGAAAAGACGUCCACAACGACCAUAUUUGGACUAGAAAUAGCUCCUGCACGGCGGUACUGUGGACGUCGUAAAUGGACGUCAAGUAUACGUUGAAAGAAAGACGUCGUCUGGAGUAACAGUCUGCACCUUGAGGGGACCAAAAUUAGACGUGCAAAAAUGACUUGGAAAAGACGUCGUUUGGACGUCUCUGCGCAGUGGGUACGCUGUUGGCUGUAGUUGCAGCAGCAGGAUAUUUGUGUUUACAUCCCUGCAG
Molecule: long non-coding RNA, 1188 nt
Organism: Centropristis striata (black sea bass)
Lineage: Eukaryota; Metazoa; Chordata; Actinopteri; Perciformes; Serranidae
Exons: 3
Source: RefSeq, a predicted model, not a curated record